This 117-nucleotide small RNA is filed under the name Macaca fascicularis (crab-eating macaque). RNAcentral describes it as "Metazoan signal recognition particle RNA (ENSMFAG00000061359.1)". Lineage: Eukaryota; Metazoa; Chordata; Mammalia; Primates; Cercopithecidae. RNAcentral also lists the same sequence under 1 other name. The record is from Rfam by way of RNAcentral.
GCUGGGCGUGAUGGCUCACACCUGUAAUCCCAGCACUCUGGGAGGCCGAGACAGGUGGAUCACCUGAGGUCAGGAGUUCAAGACCAGCCUGACCAACACGGUGAAACCCUGUCUCUA